GACAGAGGGUGCAAACGUUGUUCGGAUUCAUUGGGCGUAAAGGGUGCGUAGGCGGGUCUUUAAGUCAGGGGUGAAAUCCUGGAGCUCAACUCCAGAACUGCCUUUGAUACUGAAGAUCUUGAGUUCGGGAGAGGUGAGUGGAACUGCGAGUGUAGAGGUGAAAUUCGUAGAUAUUCGCAAGAACACCAGUGGCGAAGGCGGCUCACUGGCCCGAUACUGACGCUGAUGCACGAAGCGUGGGGAGCAAACAGG
Molecule: ribosomal RNA, 252 nt
Filed under: uncultured bacterium
Lineage: Bacteria
Description: partial 16S ribosomal RNA
Rfam family: Bacterial small subunit ribosomal RNA
Source: RNAcentral